Non-coding RNA from Linepithema humile (Argentine ant), 341 nucleotides. NCBI's taxonomy places the organism in Eukaryota, Metazoa, Arthropoda, Insecta, Hymenoptera, Formicidae. The record is from RefSeq and is a predicted model, not a curated record.
AGAAAUAAAAAGAUUGAUAACUCUAAGAAAUGUAAUUCUGAGGAUCAAAUUGACGUAACUAUAUCUUAUGAUAAUAUUAGCGCAAUAGUAAGCUGUGAUAAUAUGAGUGAAAUUAAUAAUGAGACUUCUAUCUCUACUAAAAGUCAUGAUUAUAGAAAAAAUAUUGAGUCCGCAUUUUCAAUGUUAGAUGAAAAAAGUUCUAAAAACACUGAAACUAGUGUUAUGUCCCCAGAAACUGAUUGCCAGAAGAAAAUGACAGUUUUUACCUCUACUAGAAAUAUUAACGAAACCGAUACCUGUGAUGAUUCAAGUAUGAACGAAAAGAUUGAUAAUUCUAAGGA